GAUGAACGCUGGCGGCGUGCCUAAUACAUGCAAGUCGAGCGAACAGAUGAGGAGCUUGCUCCUCUGACGUUAGCGGCGGACGGGUGAGUAACACGUGGAUAACCUACCUAUAAGACUGGGAUAACUUCGGGAAACCUGAGCUAAUACCGGAUAAUAUAUUGAACCGCAUGGUUCAAUAGUGAAAUACGGUUUUGCUGUCUCUUAUAGCUUGAUCCGCGCCGCAUUAGCUAGUUGGUAAGGUAACGGCUUACCAAGGCAACGAUGCGUAGCCGACCGGAGAGGGAAAUCGGCCACACUGGAACUGAGACACGGUCCAGAAUCCUACGGGAGGCAGCAGUAGGGAAUCUUCCGCGAUGGGCGAAAGCCUGACGGAGCAACGCCGCGUGAGUGAUGAAGGUCUUCGGGUCGUAAAACUCUGUUAUUAGAGGAGAACAAAUGUGUAAUUAACUAUGCACGUCUUGACGGUACCUAAUCAGAAAGCCACGGCUAACUACGUG
RNAcentral lists this ribosomal RNA (497 nucleotides) under uncultured bacterium. RNAcentral's name for it is "partial 16S ribosomal RNA". It matches the Rfam family "Bacterial small subunit ribosomal RNA", at positions 28 to 507 of the family's 1533-position model. The record is from RNAcentral.